AGUUUGAUCCUGGCUACAGGACGAACGGCUGGCGGCGUGCCUAACACAUGCAAGUCGAGCGGGGAUAUACUGGAUGAGAGCUUCGGCAGGAUUCCGAUAUAUUCUAGCGGCGGACGGGUGAGUAACGCGUGAACAAUCUGUCUUUCACAGGGGGAUAACACUUGGAAACAGGUGCUAAUACCGCAUAAGACCACGGAACCGCAUGGUAGAGGGGUCAAAGGAGCGAUCCGGUGAGAGGUGAGUUCGCGUCUGAUUAGCUAGUUGGUGAGGUAACGGCCCACCAAGGCGACGAUCAGUAGCCGACCUGAGAGGGUGAUCGGCCACAUUGGAACUGAGACACGGUCCAAACUCCUACGGGAGGCAGCAGUGGGGAAUAUUGGGCAAUGGGCGAAAGCCUGACCCAGCAACGCCGCGUGAGGGAAGAAGGUUUUCGGAUCGUAAACCUCUGUCCUUGGUGAAGAGGAAGAGACGGUAGCCAAGGAGGAAGCCCCGGCUAACUACGUGCC
Molecule: ribosomal RNA, 506 nt
Filed under: uncultured organism
Description: SSU rRNA
Rfam family: Bacterial small subunit ribosomal RNA
Source: RNAcentral